GAAAACAACUGAUUCAUAUAGGUUUUAUUGUAUUAAUUUCAAAAUGUUAUAAUUUAAGAACAUGCACUCCGUAAACAAAGCUCUUAUCUAUCCUAUUACGAAGUUCGUGAUUUGAUUGUGUGCCACUGAAACAGAGAAAUUUCUAGUAAAGAAAUGCAAAAGUGUAUAUCAAGUUAUAUUCCAAAUAUUUGAUAGUGCGUGCAGUGUCAUUCAACAUUAUACAGCAAUGGCGUCACAUUUUGUAUUUCAUAAUGGAAAAGUGUACAGACGUCUUGCACAAGAUGAUAAUCCUGAGUAUGGAUUAUCAGCUAAAGACUAUUAUCUUAGGGAGCGGUCGACGGUAACAGCUGCUUAUCAUGUUGCAUGGGGUAGCCAUUAUAAGAUGAAAAGGGAUUCAAAGUAUAUUUCCGCGUGUCUGACCUAUGAGGACGCCUUAAAUUUUUCAAGGAAAAAGUAAUAUUAUAAUGGCCAUAUUGUUAGCAUCGAUAUAAUUGGUGUUCCAAUGGACGUUCCGCAUAUAUACAAUGCAGACGUGAGGCAACAACUAAAUAAUGAACAGAGCGAAGUGAAUCCGGUAACUAUUUCGAAUUUCGAUUCAUUUGCAACGGAAAGAAAUAAAUAUUAAAAUAUUAA
Molecule: long non-coding RNA, 633 nt
Organism: Mytilus californianus (California mussel)
Lineage: Eukaryota; Metazoa; Mollusca; Bivalvia; Mytilida; Mytilidae
Exons: 2
Source: RefSeq, a predicted model, not a curated record